RNAcentral lists this ribosomal RNA (423 nucleotides) under uncultured Glomeraceae. RNAcentral's name for it is "SSU rRNA". It matches the Rfam family "Eukaryotic small subunit ribosomal RNA", at positions 459 to 886 of the family's 1831-position model. Lineage: Eukaryota; Fungi; Glomeromycota; Glomeromycetes; Glomerales; Glomeraceae. The record is from RNAcentral.
GGGAGGUAGUGACAAUAAAUAACAAUACGGGGUUCUUUAGGAUCUCGUAAUUGGAAUGAGUACAAUUUAAAUCUCUUAACGAGGAACAAUUGGAGGGCAAGUCUGGUGCCAGCAGCCGCGGUAAUUCCAGCUCCAAUAGCGUAUAUUAAAGUUGUUGCAGUUAAAAAGCUCGUAGUUGAAUUUCGGGGUCAGUAGGUUGGUCAUGCCACUGGUAUGUACUGUCAUUACUGGUUUCUCCCUUCUGAAGAACCUUGAUGUCAUUAAUUUGGUGUCUUGGGGAAUCAGGACUGUUACUUUGAAAAAAUUAGAGUGUUUAAAGCAGGCAUACGCUUGAAUACAUUAGCAUGGAAUAAUGAAAUAGGACGUUUGAGUCUAUUUUGUUGGUUUCUAGGAUCGACGUAAUGAUUAAUAGGGAUAGUUGGG